UGUUCACUCAGCAGUCGCCACCUCAGUUUGCCCAGCAGGCCGGUAACAACAUGUACAAUGGUAACGGCAUGAACCUCAACGUGUCCAUGGCCACCAACUCAAGUAACAUGGGCCAAAUGGGCAACCAGAUGAGCAUGAGCUCUAUGAACUCUGGACCUGGGGGCAGCAUGGCCAACAUGGGCCCUGAACAGCAGAAGUAUUGUUGACCCGGGGCAGACGACAUCCCAAUACAGUAAACCGAGUUUAAUGAAGAUGUUUGAUGAGUGAUUUUCAGCUGCAGUGUGAUCAAGGAGAGAUUGGAGUGAUGCUGUGCUGUUUAAGCUGCUAUCGGGGCUGUAGGGGUCUUUAGAGAGCCUGUCUACUGCCCCCUACUGGACAUCUCUAGAGGCUGCAUCAGGGGUACUGGAGCUCAGAGGGGAUGGACACUCUGCCUCACUCUCUUUCUCGCUCACACACACACACACACAGACACUUUGAUCUUCUGACACUUUGACCUAGAAUCCCCCGCCCCUCCUUCAGUCGAGCACGGCCUUCUGUCUCGUACUUACACUGCAAGCCCUUUCAGUCAGUCUGCUCCGUUGCAUUCACCGUAGUGUGACUUAGGUCUCCCCUGAAAAGACUCUGUGACAGUGACAUCGGAAUCCUUGUCUCCCUUGAAUGUAUUCCUCCCUCUCUUUUUCCCUGUCUUUCUUCCUGGUUCGUCCACUGGACUUCAGACUCUUCUUAAGAAGACGUUCUUUUGCCCAACCAUCGUUCUCUCUGACUUCUUUCCAAUCUGACGUUCCAAAACAGGCAAGAAGACUGCAUUUAUAAUCCACGCUCAAAAUUCAGCCAUUUUGCCUUUUUGUUUUCUUUUUUUUUUCAGUGCAAAUAAAGAUAGAAUGAUGUUGAAAAAGUGUCUACAUAUAGAUUAUGAGAAUUCAGAUGAUGGUUUGUAAAAUUAGAAUUAAUUUAGUCAAGAGGUUUAUUGUGUAUUAAAUUAAGUUUUAUUCUAAUGUAUAGUUUCUUUUUUAAAUAACAUUGUAGAUUUCUUUAUAAACCAUGGUUAGAAAUCUGAGUGCAUAUGAAUUGCCUCAGAAUAAGAAAAAAGUUCAACAUACCUAUGGAUUUUGUUUUCCUUGGUCCAGUAGUUUCAGAGAACCUGAUUUUGUUUAGUUGUGGUUAGUAAAAUGAAAUGCUGGUAGAUUGUAAAUACCAAUAAUGGAGGGGAAUUUUUUUCGUAUUAUAUUUAUUUUUUAUUUUGUUUUUCGGUAUAUUUCCCCUUCCUCCCCUCAAAGUCUGGUCUUAACUGUUUCUGGAAUGAGGGCGAAUUUCUCACGAUGAGCGUGUUCGUUUGGCGGGAAGAUGAGGAUGUGCUGAUUCCUAUGGUACUAAGGAAGGGGAGCUGGGGUGAGGUGGUCCUUCUUUCCUGGGUGGGGGUCUGGGAGGGUUCUGUGUGUACAGUGUACAGAUACUCGCUUGCUUCUAAGCCUUUAGCCGGGAGCCCCACCGGAGGAACCCAUCACAGCCAUAAACUCAACACUGAAGCGUGCUUUCUUUGUUGUGUGGAGUGACGUGCUUCAUGCCAGACGCUAUAGGUACAAGCAGAAUCCGGUGUGUGUAAGAAAAUACAACAAGCAAUAAAUAUUACUUGAGAUUUUAUUUUGUUUUGUUUUGUAAUUUUUGUACAGGACUUUUCAGGAGACACAUUUGUGCUCCCCGGUUCAAACUCAGUAUUAAAGAUAGAUUUUUUUUUUAUUAUUAUUAUUGUUGUGGUUUCUAUUUUGAGAAAGACAAAAACAAGAUGUCCAAAUCUACUUGUUCCUCAGUGAAAAGCAGGUUUUAGUUCUGGUGUAGCCAAAAAAAAUGUUUAAUAAAUUUAAAAAAAAAAAAAGCAGCAUUUAUGUUUUGCGUGGCUAUUCCUACAUUCACAUUAAUGUUCGCCGUCUUGAAAACCUCCGGAUCAACGGUUCAGAUUUGAAUCAGCGGUCACUACAGGCACGUGAACUCUUAACGCUGUAAUGUAGGCUACGCAAUACAGUUUGUGUUUUCUAGCCUAUUUGAUGACGAAGCCAAGUUUCCUUGCCUUUGAAUUGAUCAGUAGACUUAAACAUACCUUUCAUUUCGUUUUCGUCUCAUGUCUGCACACGGUUUGUAUCGGGAUUAGAUUGUCGGGCUUUAGCUUUCGCUGAAAAUAUCGCCAUGUCAUCUGUGUUCAAGCUGGUGUGUUAAAAAAACAAAACAAAAAAA
This is a long non-coding RNA of Sinocyclocheilus rhinocerous, 2229 nucleotides long. RefSeq lists it as uncharacterized. NCBI's taxonomy places the organism in Eukaryota, Metazoa, Chordata, Actinopteri, Cypriniformes, Cyprinidae. The transcript has 2 exons. The record is from RefSeq and is a predicted model, not a curated record.